CCCUUAGAUGUUCUGGGCAGCACGCGCGCUACAAUGGUCUUCGCAAACGGAUGCAUUCUCGAAGGAGAAUGCCAAUCUUGGAAUCUAUGCCUUGGUCGGGACAGUUGCUUGCAAUUUUUCGACUCGAACCAGGAAUUCCUUGUAAUCGUGAUUCAUCACAUCACGAUGAAUACGUCCCUGCCCUUUGUACACACCGCCCGUCGCUCCUACGGAUCGAAGAGUUAGGUGAAUUGUUUUGAUCGAUAAGAUUUGACUAUGGUCAACUCUCGUUGUGAAAUUCUGUGAAUCUGACUGUUUAGAGGAAGGAAAAGUCGUAACA
This 319-nucleotide ribosomal RNA is filed under the name uncultured eukaryote. RNAcentral describes it as "partial 18S ribosomal RNA". It matches the Rfam family "Eukaryotic small subunit ribosomal RNA", at positions 1470 to 1796 of the family's 1831-position model. The record is from RNAcentral.